This 1961-nucleotide long non-coding RNA is filed under the name Arachis ipaensis. Its description in RNAcentral is "long non-coding RNA (AIPA_LNC001368)". The record is from RNAcentral. Lineage: Eukaryota; Viridiplantae; Streptophyta; Magnoliopsida; Fabales; Fabaceae.
CCACCAACUUGAUGCCAAAUCCCCACAUCACUAUUUUAGAGAACUCUCCAAACACUAUGGCCCCAUCAUGUCCUUCAAACUUGGUUCAACCCAAGCUCUUGUUAUUUCCUCAUCAAAAUUAGCCAAAGAAGUGUUAAAGACACAUGACCUCAAAUUUGCAAGUAGGCCACCUUACUUAGGCCUAAGGAAAUUGUCAUAUAAUGGCUUGGACUUAGGUUUUGCACCUUAUAGCCCUUAUUGGAGAGAGAUGAAGAAGCUUUGUGUUUUGCACCUUUUUAGCUCUCAAAGGGUCCAUUCUUUUAGACCCUUUAGAGAACAAGAGGUUGCAAACAUGAUUAGGAGGAUAUCCCAACAUGAAGAUUCAAACAAAGUUGUAAACUUGAGUGACACUUUGAUGUUUUUUACCAACACUUUGAUAUGUAAAAUGACAGACAUAGUAGUAAACAUGACCAAGCUAAAAUGCAAACAAUUUCAGCUAAGGACGUAAUAACUAAUUUGAAGUUCAUGGGCUAUUUCUUUAGCAGUCAUGAUAGACUAUUAACAAUGAGUGGUACUUGACCAGUAAAUUAGAUUUAGAUUGUGUUUUUUUUAGUUGGUUACAUGGUGAAAUAAGUUGUAUGAGUUCCAACAAGGUGUAUGCAUGUUGGGAUAAAUUAUUUCAUUAAUUCAAAUCAUCUAUACUGAAUCACAAAAAAGUAUAUAUAUCAUAGUGCGAAAAUGUAUUUUUAGUCAUAGAAAUUAGAAAUUAAUUGAAAAAUUAUCUCAGUCUUAAUUAAAAUCUUUUAUAUCUUUAAUAGGAUGACUGAAUUGUAACUCCUCUGAUAAAAAAAAGAAUUAUUGAGGCGGUUUUGGUAUAUCGAAGACUAAAAUCCUGAAGUCACUAUUUAUAUUUGAGCACGACAGAAUUUUAGUCUUUAAUAUACUAAAGCCGCCUCAAUAACUCUUUUUCUAUCGGAGGAGUUACAAUUCAGCCGUCCUAUUAAGGAUAUAAAAGAUUUUAAUUGAAUAAGUUUGAGACAACUUUAAUUGAAAUCACCUGCAUUUUAGUUUGGUCAUGUUCACUAUCAUUUUCGUUAUUUCACUAUCUAACUAGGGAUGUUUUAGGAAUUGCGCCAUAUGCUAUCAACAAAAUUUAAACCACCUAUCUAUUCGUACCUGGUACAUCGCUAUUUCAAUAAAAUGAAUGAAACAGGUGAAAAUUUUCCUAGACUUUAUAAUAAAUUCAAAUUUAUCCUACUCCACUCAUUUUCUUCUUUUUCUUUUAUUACAUAGUAUAAUUUCUUAUUUAUACUCUCAAUAAUUUCUAAUAAGCCUAACUAUUAUUUAUUAUUGGUCCGUUCUAUUAAUUAAAUUCUACAUAAAAAACAAAGACAUGUUUGGUUCUAUAAAUUUGAAAGAUGGUGAUAGAAUUUGUAUGUUUGCAAGAUGGAGAGCCUAGUUGUUAUUCUAAGUUUAGUAUCCAUCUUUGUUCUCUUCAUUAUCACACAAAGAAACACAAGAACAAGAUCAAGAACACCACUUCCUCCUGGCCCUAAAGGCCUUCCUCUAAUUGGAAAUCUCCACCAACUUGAUGCCAAAUCCCCACAUCACUAUUUUAGAGAACUCUCCAAACACUAUGGCCCCAUCAUGUCCUUCAAACUUGGUUCAACCCAAGCUCUUGUUAUUUCCUCAUCAAAAUUAGCCAAAGAAGUGUUAAAGACACAUGACCUCAAAUUUGCAAGUAGGCCACCUUACUUAGGCCUAAGGAAAUUGUCAUAUAAUGGCUUGGACUUAGGUUUUGCACCUUAUAGCCCUUAUUGGAGAGAGAUGAAGAAGCUUUGUGUUUUGCACCUUUUUAGCUCUCAAAGGGUCCAUUCUUUUAGACCCUUUAGAGAACAAGAGGUUGCAAACAUGAUUAGGAGGAUAUCCCAACAUGAAGAUUCAAACAAAGUUGUAAACUUGAGUGACACUUUGAUGUUUUU